UCCCUGGUGGUCCAGUGGCUAAGACUCUACACUCCAAGUGUUGGGGGCCUGGGUUCAAUCCCUGGUCAGGGAG
This 73-nucleotide transfer RNA is filed under the name Bos taurus (domestic cattle). It matches the Rfam family "tRNA". Rfam says of the family: Transfer RNA (tRNA) molecules are approximately 80 nucleotides in length. Their secondary structure includes four short double-helical elements and three loops (D, anti-codon, and T loops). The record is from Rfam by way of RNAcentral. RNAcentral also lists the same sequence under 1 other name. Lineage: Eukaryota; Metazoa; Chordata; Mammalia; Artiodactyla; Bovidae.